GCGUGGGUCGGCCCACUGCGUACUGGAACCAGUGGGCUGGGGGAUACCGCCGCCCCAAUCCCCGCGGGCGGUGGAUCAGUCCGGGAGGCGGCGAACGCCUCCCGGACUGAG
This is a small RNA of Streptomyces sp. MnatMP-M17, 111 nucleotides long. It matches the Rfam family "Streptomyces RNA 4115". From Rfam's summary of the family: Identified by deep sequencing of transcriptome at the end of exponential growth phase. NCBI's taxonomy places the organism in Bacteria, Bacillati, Actinomycetota, Actinomycetes, Kitasatosporales, Streptomycetaceae. The record is from Rfam.